RNAcentral lists this ribosomal RNA (318 nucleotides) under Triticum aestivum (bread wheat). RNAcentral's name for it is "partial small subunit ribosomal RNA". Lineage: Eukaryota; Viridiplantae; Streptophyta; Magnoliopsida; Poales; Poaceae. The record is from RNAcentral.
AUGACAUCUACUCUGAAUGUCUCCAAAUGCUUGCCAACCAGAUAUCUUGUCGUGAAUUGCUUCAGUGAUCAUUCUCUUGCACAUGUAUGUUGUCCCACAUACUUCUUCACAACCCAUGCUUUGGUCCUGCUAUCAGGUGCAGCAAACAGGAACCAAGGACAAUCUCCAACACAACAUGCCCUUAUCCUCCACCUAUCAUUUUUUGUACUGUAUUUGCACUCUUUGUUUGAUAAUGUACUCUUGAAUUGCUGCUAUAAGUUCAAUCAUAGUCGAGAACACCAUGCCUAUGUGAAAAUUCACAUCUUUCAUGUUCUCUAG